UCCAGACUCCUACGGGAGGCAGCAGUAGGGAAUCUUUCACAAUGGGCGAAAGCCUGAUGGAGCAACGCCGCGUGCAGGAUGAAGGCCUUCGGGUUGUAAACUGCUUUUAUAAGCGAGAAAUAUGAUGGUAACUUAUGAAUAAGGAUCGGCUAACUACGUGCCAGCAGCCGCGGUAAUACGUAGGGGGCAAGCGUUAUCCGGAUUUACUGGGUGUAAAGGGAGCGUAGACGGAAUUGCAAGUCUGAUGUGAAAAUCCGGGGCCCAACCCCGGAACUGCAUUGGAAACUGUAUUUCUAGAGUGUCGGAGAGGCAAGUGGAAUUCCUGGUGUAGCGGUGAAAUGCGUAGAUAUCAGGAGGAACACCAGUGGCGAAGGCGGCUUGCUGGACGAUGACUGACGUUGAGGCUCGAAAGCGUGGGGAGCAAACAGGAUUAGAUAC
This 438-nucleotide ribosomal RNA is filed under the name uncultured bacterium. RNAcentral's name for it is "bacterial SSU rRNA". It matches the Rfam family "Bacterial small subunit ribosomal RNA", at positions 330 to 785 of the family's 1533-position model. The record is from RNAcentral.